GACGAACGCUGGCGGCGUGCUUAACACAUGCAAGUCGAACGGAAAGGCCCUGCUUUUGUGGGGUGCUCGAGUGGCGAACGGGUGAGUAACACGUGAGUAACCUGCCCUUGACUUUGGGAUAACUUCAGGAAACUGGGGCUAAUACCGGAUAGGAGCUCCUGCUGCAUGGUGGGGGUUGGAAAGUUUCGGCGGUUGGGGAUGGACUCGCGGCUUAUCAGCUUGUUGGUGGGGUAGUGGCUUACCAAGGCUUUGACGGGUAGCCGGCCUGAGAGGGUGACCGGCCACAUUGGGACUGAGAUACGGCCCAGACUCCUACGGGAGGCAGCAGUGGGGAAUAUUCCACAAUGGGCGGAAGCCUGAUGCAGCAACGCCGCGUGCGGGAUGACAGCCUUCGGGUUGUAAACCGCUUUCUCCUGUGACGAAGCGUGAGUGACGGUAAUGGGUAAAGAAGCACCGGCUAACUACGUG
Molecule: ribosomal RNA, 468 nt
Filed under: uncultured bacterium
Lineage: Bacteria
Description: partial 16S ribosomal RNA
Rfam family: Bacterial small subunit ribosomal RNA
Source: RNAcentral